RNAcentral lists this long non-coding RNA (255 nucleotides) under Phoenix dactylifera (date palm). RNAcentral describes it as "long non-coding RNA (PDAC_LNC022201)". Lineage: Eukaryota; Viridiplantae; Streptophyta; Magnoliopsida; Arecales; Arecaceae. The record is from RNAcentral.
CGAAUCUGCUCGAGGACGGGGUGGACCACUGGUGCUCUCGAAGCCUCAUCAGGGGUGAUCCCAUACUGUAUCUUGGAAUCCUCUGAUCCAUAUCGGCGGUCACCGAUUGUUGAACGAUGGAGAAGAAGCUAAAGAUUAGAGGAGGAAGGAGAGAUUAGAGCUUCUUUUUCUUUUCUUUCUUCGAAUUGAUGCAGAGAUUAGGGUUCUUGGCAGAGCGAAAGAAAGCGGGAGAGAAGGAGGGAGAGAGGAGCAAAC